Molecule: long non-coding RNA, 4009 nt
Filed under: Sus scrofa (pig)
Lineage: Eukaryota; Metazoa; Chordata; Mammalia; Artiodactyla; Suidae
Description: lncRNA (ENSSSCG00040011570.1)
Source: RNAcentral
CCAUUGCAGCGUCUCUAGUGGCUGGUCCAAUGCUUGCCUCAUGGGUGGUGGGAAACACACACACACACAUACACACACCACCUGCCUCAACAAAUGCACAAACCAACACGUAUGUCCUUUCUCGGGUUGGGAUAUUUGUUUUAGAUUUUUCUGCUUAGGCCACAUUAGUACAAUAUCCUCUCUUCUUAGUUAAUGGCUCUACUUUUAGGGAUGAAAAUGGAGAAUUAGUGAGACAAUGUAUUAAUUUCUACUCUGUGCCAAACUACUCAGUGAAUCCGGCAAGUCAAUCCAAAAAGGAGCGAAUGUCACAAGGUGGAACAUUUUCCUAAGUUCCAGUCAUUUUCAAGUAGCCAACAAGUGUCUGUGGCCACCUCCUUUAGAGAUGUUUCCUGCACUGUCUUAAAAGAGCCUGUGGCUGCUGGUGUGAAAACCGGUGCGAAAAAUAUCAGAGGGAAUACGCAACAGCCAUGCAGCUCUGUGCCUUACGAGGGCCUUGUCCCAGGUCCACAUUCACGGUCAUCAGUGAAAAAGCUGGCUCUCGUUCCCCUGAUUAAUUUCUACUUGGUCAUUGUUAAUAAUGAGGUUAGAGGAAUGUGUUUACACAGGGCAAAAUGAAAUGAAAGGGACACUACGCAUACAUAAGUCAUCAUUCAAAGCGCAUCAGAGGUGAGAGGGUAGCUGUAUUAUCUGAGACCCUGGCUUCCUCCCUGAACCCUGCCUGCCCGGGGAGAAACCUCCGGUCGCUUUGUGUUAGUUGUAAUGAAUGGUGAUGAUGCAACACAGACUGAAUCAGAAGUGGCUCCGUGAUGUGUCAGUUGAUUGGUCUGAUUGGUCACCUAACGCUGUGGAAUGAAUCAUCCCCAACUUAAUGGCUUAAAUCCUCAAUACUCAUGGAUUAUCUCCAUGGUUUCCAUGGGUCAGGGACUCUGGAAAGGCAGGGCAUUCUAAUUGGCAUCUCCCAGGCAGUUGCAGGUGGAUGCCAACUUGGGUUGGGAUCCUCUGAAAGGCUGCUCACUCUCAAUGCUGGUUCUGAGCUUCAGGGACUUGACCAGAGAGGAGCCGGAACAGCUGGGGCUCCCUGGGCACCUCAUUGUCUCUGUGGGGGUCUCUUUUUUGCAGACUCCCAGGCAUAAUGAGUUAAGGGGCGGGGGGGCUGGUCUGCAGACACGCUGGCUCAGGGCUCCCACAGCACAUGUCCCAGGAGAGAGCCUGGGUGAGUGCCAUUUUCUCUUCUAUUCCCUGUUACUGGAAAGCAUGCAGCUUCACAUCUGGGCUCUCUCAGAAUCCAGGCCCCACUUCUAGGUGGAAAGUGUCAGCAUUACACAGGACGAACACCAUGGGAGAUGUACACGGCUCUCGUGGGAAAGGAUUUUCUGCCAUCGACUCCUUGCUGUAGUGCUGGAAGCACAUUUCUUGCCUCUGCUCGGUCCAUGCAGGGCGGGAGGGAACAAUCUCAGCAGGUCUGGGAUAAGGGGGUAUUCAGGAGACACAGCCACAUGCUGCCCCUCUGGGACAGCCACUCUCGUGUUGCGCCGAGCCCACACUGCUUCCUCAUGUAGAAUCAAAACCUGCCUCAUGUAGAAUCAAAACCUGCCUUCCUCCAGCUUCUUUCUUCAGCAUUCAUGUCUAGCCACCUGUCAUGGACUGCAUGUGUUUGCCUGAAAUUCAUAUGCUGAAGUCCAACCCCCAGGUUGAUGGCAUUUGGAGGUGGGGUCUUGGGUGGUAAUUAGGUUUAGAGGAGGUCAUGAGGGUAGGACUGUCAUGAUGGGAUUAGUCCUUAUAAAAAGGAGACAAGUGGAAAAGCUCUGGGAGCACAGAGUGAAAAGGAGGCUGUCUAGAGCCAGGAGGAGGGGCCUCACCAAGGACUGCAUGUGCCAGCACCUUCACCUCGGACUUGCAGCCUCGCAACCGUGAGGAACACACGCCUGCUGAUGAAGCCCCCACGGUGUAGUUUCCCUGACCGCACUUCCUUACCUUUCCUUUGCAUCAGUUAAACACAUUUAUGUGCACAUUUGUGAUAUAAAUUCUGACUAUAAAAAUAAUACAUGUCUAGUUUCGAUAAUUUGGACGAUGUAAUUAAGCUUAAAUCUGAAAAUAAAAAUCAUAUAUUAUUCCCGCCAACCUAAAACGAUAACUCAGAUGUUCCUUUUUUUCUUUCAGAUAUAUAUUCACACACACACACACACACACAAUGUUUUACACAUAUAAUAUAUGCCUGCAUUUCAAUACUAUAAAACACCCCUCAUAAACUUGGUUUUUAAUGGCUAUUAAAUAAUUCCAUUGUGUAUAUGUAGCCCAAUUUAUGCAAUAAUUAACCUUUCUUUUCAGAAGGACAGACUAUCACAAUGUAAUUCUCAUUAUUACAUUAAUUACUUUCUUAUGAAAACACUCAUUCUUCUUCUUGGUAAAAACCGACUAAAUUCUUGAACUUGGAACAUGAUCUCUUGGCCUAAUGAGGCUAUAUAUAUACAUUCUAAUCAUAAGCCAUAGGACAGGUAGCUGGAAGGACUCACGGAAAUCAUGAACCCCCAACCCUUUAUCAUCCAUGCAGAGAACGAAGGCCCAGACAGAGGAGAGGGGACUGCCAAGGUCAACCGCAAAUCGCGAGACUUGUAGAGCAUAGAUUAUUGUUACAACCUUUAUGAAAUGAAGUGUCUUUACCACUCUUUUACUCAUUCCACAAAUAUUCGCUGUGUGCCCUGUAGGCACCAGGCCCAGUGUAUAAAGUGGGCAAUGAAACAGGAUAUGCCUCCUGCCCGGGGAACUUGCAGUCAUCACAUUCCCCAGCACCCUACUUCCACUGCAGAGGCCUCUACAGAGCUUUCUGAUCCACAUUCUGCUCCUCUCUGCCGGAGGCCAUUCUCCAGCUUCAGGAGGCUGCGGACUCUCUUGCUGUGCAGACUGCUGUGUCAUUCCCAAAGCGACCCUCGACCCAGGAUGGGUAGAGUUGGGGGACUGUCACCCAGCUGUCUUUCCUCCCCCGACUGGCAGUGGGACAGCUGCAAGGCAUGUUCCACACAGUCUCCAGCGAGUCCCCAGUGGGAGGGACACGCAGUGGCCCCCAGAGGACCCAUCAUUGCUUUGCUCAUCAGGCUUCCUGGGAUCACCUCCUUGGAGAUAAUGAUAAAAACAAGGAAAAUGCAGCUACAAACUUCGCUGCUCUUCAAGCACCAUGACAUUGUUGGAAUAAAACAUUUAUUGGGCACAGCAAAGGAAAUACAUACUUCAUCAAGGAAAUACUAUCUUUUUAUUUGACCCAGGAGGCACCUGCAAUGAAAUCCUUGGUUCAGGCUCUGCUGCUGAGGGAAAUCUAAACCAAGACCAACUCAUAUCGGUGUUUACCAUGCACAUUCCAUAAAGGAAAAAGAUACAAUCCCAUCAAAUAAAAGCAGCAGGGAACAACCACUGUGGAUGUUCCUCAGAAAACUAAAUGUACAACUACGCUAUGAUCCAGUAAACCCACUCCCGGGCAUAUAUGCAGACAAAACUACAGUUCAAAAAGAUACAUGCACCCCUAUGUUCACUGCAGCACUAUUCCCAAUACUCAAGACAUGCAGACUACCUAAAUGUCCAUCGACAGAUGAAUGGAUUAAGAAUAUGUGAUACAUAUAUACAACAGAAUACUAUUCAGCCAUAAAAAAGAAUGAGAUAAUGCCAUUUUCAGCAAUAUGGAUGCAAUAGAGACUCUCAUAUUAAGGGAAGUAAGUCAAAAAGAGAAUGACAAAUGCCAUAUGAUAUCACUUAUAUGUGUAAUCUAAUAUAUGGCACAAAUGAACCUAUCUACAGAACAGAAACAGACACACAGACAUGUGGAACAGAUUUGUGGUUGCCAAGGGGGAGGGGGAUGUGGGGUGGACUGGGGGUUUGGGGUUAGUAGAUGCAAACUAUUGCAAUUAGAACGGAUAAGCAAUGAGGUCCUACUGCAUAGCAGAGGGAACUAUAUCCAAUCUCUUGUGAUAAAACACGAUGGACGAUAACAUGAGAAAAAGAAUAUAUAUAUAUAUUACAU